AUUGAACGCUGGCGGCAUGCCUUACACAUGCAAGUCGAACGGUAACGGGCCUUCGGGCGCCGACGAGUGGCGAACGGGUGAGUAAUGCAUCGGAACGUGCCCAGUAGUGGGGGAUAGCCCGGCGAAAGCCGGAUUAAUACCGCAUGAGACCUGAGGGUGAAAGCGGGGGAUCGCAAGACCUCGCGCUACUGGAGCGGCCGAUGUCAGAUUAGCUAGUUGGUGGGGUAAAGGCCUACCAAGGCAACGAUCUGUAGUUGGUCUGAGAGGACGACCAGCCACACUGGGACUGAGACACGGCCCAGACUCCUACGGGAGGCAGCAGUGGGGAAUUUUGGACAAUGGGCGCAAGCCUGAUCCAGCAAUGCCGCGUGCAGGAAGAAGGCCUUCGGGUUGUAAACUGCUUUUGUCAGGGAAGAAAUCUUCUGGGUUAAUACCUCGGGAGGAUGACGGUACCUGAAGAAUAAGCACCGGCUAACUACGUGCCAGCAGCCGCGGUAA
Molecule: ribosomal RNA, 498 nt
Filed under: uncultured bacterium
Lineage: Bacteria
Description: partial 16S ribosomal RNA
Rfam family: Bacterial small subunit ribosomal RNA
Source: RNAcentral